UAGGGAAUUAUCGGCAAUGGGGGAAACCCUGACCGUGCAACGCCGCGUGAAGGAUGAAGGUCCUAUGGAUUGUAAACUUCUGUUGUCAGGAAAAAAUGAUAGCUAGAGGAAAUGCUAGUUAUUUGAUGGUACCUGACUAGAAAGUCACGGCUAACUACGUGCCAGCAGCCGCGGUAAUACGUAGGUGGCAAGCGUUAUCCGGAAUUAUUGGGUGUAAAGGGAGUGUAGGCGGUUUUACAAGUCUGAAGUCAAAGGCAGUGGCUUAACCAUUGUUCGCUUUGGAAACUGUUUAACUAGAGUACGGGAGAGGCUAAUGGAAUUUCAUAUGUAGCGGUGGAAUGCGUAGAUAUAUGAAGGAACACCAGUGGCGAAGGCGAUUAGCUGGACCGGAACUGACGCUGAGGCUCGAAAGCGUGGGGAGCAAAUA
RNAcentral lists this ribosomal RNA (427 nucleotides) under uncultured bacterium. Its description in RNAcentral is "partial 16S ribosomal RNA". It matches the Rfam family "Bacterial small subunit ribosomal RNA", at positions 355 to 774 of the family's 1533-position model. The record is from RNAcentral.